GUCAUCUCUGCCAUCGCAAUGUGAUCACACACUCGUAAAUAUAAAUAGGUCAAUCCUGAAGCUAGCCCUUUAGGCAGUGCUGGCAGCGAGAUCUCUUACCAUGCUGAUACAACCCUGAAGACAAAUUCACAAUCAAUCACAUCAGUAGCGCAGCUCAGUAGCAGCAGCAGUGGAUAUUCAGUUUACAGGAGCUUCCGGGGAGAUAGCUUCUGAGAUAUCUUUGAUCUGCAGGAAGAAGUUUCAGAAACUGCAAGAGACCUUAGGCAUUCUCAUUCCCAGGAUGAUAUGAAGCUUCAAAUUGAGAGUAUGAAGGUCAAACUGCGACAUAUAUUCUACAGUUGUGGCUAUGGACAACUUUUGGCCAGUCCGGUGUAUUCUACAAUUGAGGCAAUGGAGCACUUUUGACCAGUCUAGUGUAUUCUACUGUUGUGGCACUGGAGUAGUCAUUAUCCACAAAACCAGGUUGAGAGGUAAUCAUCAGUGAACUGCUUUGGAAAGGCCUGAAAACAAGGAUGUGCAUAAAUAUCUUCUCUAUAUUGG
Triticum aestivum (bread wheat) is the source of this 540-nucleotide long non-coding RNA. RefSeq lists it as uncharacterized. NCBI's taxonomy places the organism in Eukaryota, Viridiplantae, Streptophyta, Magnoliopsida, Poales, Poaceae. The transcript has 3 exons. The record is from RefSeq and is a predicted model, not a curated record.